CACGUAGUUAGCCGGGGCUUCUUAGUCAGGUACCGUCAUUCUCUUCCCUGCUGAUAGAGCUUUACAUACCGAAAUACUUCUUCACUCACGCGGCGUUGCUGCAUCAGGGUUUCCCCCCAUUGUGCAAUAUUCCCCACUGCUGCCUCCCGUAGGAGUUUGGGCCGUGUCUCAGUCCCAAUGUGGCCGGCCACCCUCUCAGGUCGGCUACUGAUCGUCGCCUUGGUGGGCCGUUACCUCACCAACCAGCUAAUCAGACGCGGGUCCAUCUCAUACCACCGGAGUUUUUCACACCGGACCAUGCGGUCCUGUGCGCUUAUGCGGUAUUAGCAGUCAUUUCUAACUGUUAUCCCCCUGUAUGAGGCACGGUUACCCACGCGUUACUCACCCGUCCGCCGCUCAGUCAUACACGCUUCCAUCCGAAAACUUCCACACUCUAUGCUUCGCUCGACUUGCAUGUGUUAAGCACGCCGCCAGCCGUUCAUCCUGAGCCAGGAUA
RNAcentral lists this ribosomal RNA (496 nucleotides) under uncultured Lachnospiraceae bacterium. RNAcentral's name for it is "partial 16S ribosomal RNA". The record is from RNAcentral. Lineage: Bacteria; Bacillati; Bacillota; Clostridia; Lachnospirales; Lachnospiraceae.